Molecule: ribosomal RNA, 479 nt
Filed under: uncultured bacterium
Lineage: Bacteria
Description: bacterial SSU rRNA
Rfam family: Bacterial small subunit ribosomal RNA
Source: RNAcentral
CUGGCUCAGAACGAACGCUGGCGGCAUGCCUAAUACAUGCAAGUCGAACGGAGAUAGCAAUAUCUUAGUGGCGAACGGGUGCGUAACACGUGAGCAACCUGCCUUAUACAUCGGAAUAACAGCUGGAAACGGCUGCUAAUACCGGAUAAGACCACACCAAGGCAUCUUGGAGAGGUCAAAGCGAAUUAGCGGUAUAAGAUGGGCUCGCGUCCAAUUAGCUAGUUGGUGGGGUAACGGCCCACCAAGGCAACGAUUGGUAGCCGACUUGAGAGAGUGAUCGGCCACACUGGAACUGAGACACGGUCCAGACUCCUACGGGAGGCAGCAGUAGGGAAUAUUGGGCAAUGGAGGAAACUCCUUACCCAGCAAUGCCGCGUGAAUGAUGAAGGUCUUAUGGAUUGUAAAGUUCUUUAAUUGGGGACGAAAGAAAUGACGGUACCCAAAGAAUAAGCCCCGGCUAACUAUGUGCCAGCAGCCGC